UUUUUUUUUUUUUUUGUAUGCAUUGAAAUAUCUGGUUUGGAUGCAUUUUAAUAGCUGGUUAAAAUUGCAAUACACGUGUUGGCUUUUUUUUUUUUUUUUACAUCUGGCGGUAAAUUAUCGUUAAAAUGUUUUGUGGUUUUGUUAGUAUCCUUAUUUUUCGUUAUAUUAUAUACAAAUUAUCUGACAGGUGGACGCGUUUGAUUGUCGUUUGAACCUUACAGCUCAUCAUAUAUUUUCUAACGUUAUGAAUUUGUGAUAUAACGUUCAAACUAGCGCCUUUUUUUCGUUGUUUUCUUUCGAUUCUUCACUUUUCAACAAAAUUAUCAUGAAACGUUCGAGUAUGCGCCUUAUUUCCACAUCAUAUUUUUUUACGUAACGAAAUUCUAAUAUAACGUUAAAACUGACUCCAUUUUUUCAGUUUUCUUGCUAAGCUUCACUUCUUUCAACAAAAUUAUAAUGAAACGUUCGAACACGCGCAUUAUUUUCUCUUAUUUUAUCCUUCUUACUUUUCUUCAUUUCUUUCAAUAUACACAAAUUCGUUUCUAGUAACAUGGAUUUAAAAGACUUCAAACUUCAUUAUUCUUUUCUCCUUUAUCAUCAAAUUCACUAUAAAAUUAUGAAUAAGUGCAUCAUUUCAUUGUAUCUUCAUUAUCAUCACUAUCUUUGGUUGAGAGAGAGAGAGAGAGAGAGAGAGAGAGAGAGAGAGAGAGAGAGAGAGAGAGAGAGAGAGCAAUCCCACCCAGCUCACUUAAAGAGGAUACUCCCUGGAGCUUCCCGAAAUACACACACACACACACACACACACACACACACGGACACACACACGGACACACACACAUUUCCCAACCCUAUCUCGCACACGCAAACCUACAAACACACACACACACACACACAGCUAACCUUCCGUGAUAACAGUUCAUAACAGAUAGAUAAUACAAAUAAUAACAAACAUAAUAAAAAAUAACAAGGCGAUAGUUACCCCUUACACCACCACCACCAUCACCCAUAUCUCUUCUUCUACUUCGUCACCCUCAUACAAACACACACACACACACACAUACACACGAACGCACGCCGAGACGAACCUUCAGCGCCGAAUCCUCCUCCUCCUCGUCGCCAUGGUAACGGAGACGCCGACCCGUUAACAGCUGGCUAGUGUCAACAAAGGGAACGGGCGGUCUCUCUCUCUCUCUCUCUCUCUCUCUCUCUCUCUCUCUCUCUCUCGUAUAUCUGAAACUCCCCUCCUCCUCCUUUUCAUUCUCUUCCUAGCUUGUAUUCUAAUCACUCAGCUUGUCUUCUUUAUUUCUUCUUUUCCUUCUUUCUUUCUUCUUCUCCUUUUCUUCAUUAUCCUCUUAGUUUGUAUCCUUAUCACGCUUCUUCCUUCCUCCUUCCAUCCUACACACUCUGUCAACCCAGCUCCUUCUUCUUCUUCUUCUCCUCUCCACUCUCAUCACACCCUCGGGAACACUUUAGGUCUUGGUGAUGUAAAAAUAAAUAACUGCUUUUGUCUUUUGAAAUCUUGAAGUAUAUAAUUGUUGACUUUUAAAACUGUUUCUAUGUAAUUUAUGGAGUCGGUUGCUUGCUUCGGACGAAAGAUAGAGAUAGGUAGAUAGAGAUAGAUAGUUAAAUGGAUAGAUAAACAGAGAGAAAGAGAGAAGAGAACUACAGAGCUACCUUCUAUAUUAAAAAAAAAGGCUUUGAAAAUCACCCAAUAAAAUAACAAUAAAAAUCGAAGUUGGGAGCAUAUGUUAAAGCUGCGCGUGACCUCAGUGCUCAUCUCCUUCUCACGAAAUAGAUAAAAAGCCACAUUACUCCAUCACAAUUUUUCCUUCAAGAGAGGCAGGCGUUAGGCACUCGAGAUAAGGGUCAGGCGAUGGACGUUGAUUAAGCAAGAUAACGUAUGUCAACCCCACUAUCAUUUUCAUUAUUACGUGACCUUGAUGCAGAUGGCAAUAAACCUGACAAUAAUGAUAGGAAAAAAGAGGGCACAGAGAUAACGAGGGCAAGUUCUUACUCCCAAAAUACAGUAGAUGAUGUAAGACCCAGAUAAUCUUAAGCCUUGGUGACACUGGAAAUGAUUCAUGUUGUUGAUAAGGAGAAACAAAUGAGAAAAUAAAAAAAUAAAUAAAUGAAAACGAAGUGAAAGCAAAAUCUUAAUCCCUAAAUACAGUAGAUUAGAUACGAUGAUAAUGUUGGAGGUAGAAAAAAAAGGGAAAAAAUGAAGCGACGGAAAAAUCUUUAAUCUCAAAAUACAGUACCUAGAUUAUAAAAGACAGUGGAAAUGAUUGAUAGUGUUGAUAGAGGAGAAGAAAGAAGGGGAAAGAUGAUGACGGCAGGAGGAAAAAGAAGGGGAAAGAUGAUGAUGGCAGGAGGAAAAAAUAAGGGGAAAGACUGUUGGAAAAAAAAAAAAAAAAAAAAAAAAUGGCGACAGGUUAAGGUUACUUGUGGCUUUGUGAUUCUGAACAAUUACCAAUAGGCCCCAGGGGAUAACUUAGGCCUUGUUGGUGAUUGCGGUGAAGAUGGUGACGGUGGUGGUGAUGGUGUAGAAGGAGGUGAAGGGCGUGUAAGAACUUGAAGACCAAUCCUAUAAGCCCAAGAUUGCUUCAUUGCUGUUCUUCAGGUUAACCACAACGAGCCACCCUCACCACUGGCUACUGGGAAGGUUGAGGUCUUGGUGAUGGUGGAAUGGUGACAGCAAUGAUAAAAAUAGGGAAGGGUGAAGUAAAGGGAGUUCAAAUCACCAAAGAAAGGGGGAGGGUUGGUAGUUUGAAAUCUAUAUCACCAAGAAGCAAUAUCGUAGGCAUAGGAAAGCUGAGGUCUUGGUGAUAGUGGAAUGGUGACAGUAAUGAUAAAAACAGGGAAGGGUGAAGUAAGGGGAGUUCAAAUCACCAAAGAAAGGGGGAAGGGUUGGUAGUUGGGAAUCUAUAUCACCAAGAAGCAAUAUCGUAGCCAUAGGAAAGCUGAGGUCUUGGUGAAAGUGGAAUGGUGACAGCAAUGAUAAAAAUAGGGAAGGGUGAAGUAAGGGGAGUUCAAAUCACCAAAGAAAGGGGGAAGGGUUGAUAGUAGGGAAUCUAUAUCACCAAGAAGCAAUAUCGUAGCCAUAGGAAAGCUGAGGUCUUGGUGAAAGUGGAAUGGUGACAGCAAUGAUAAAAAUAGGGAAGGGUUAAGUAAGGGGAGUUCAAAUCACCAAAGAAAGGGGGAGGGUUGGUAGUUUGAAAUCUAUAUCACCAAGAAGCAAUAUCGUAGCCAUAGGAAAGCUGAGGUCUUGGUGAAAGUGGAAUGGUGACAGCAAUGAUAAAAAUAGGGAAGGGUUAAGUAAGGGGAGUUCAAAUCACCAAAGAAAGGGGGAAGGGUUGAUAGUAGGGAAUCUAUAUCACCAAGAAGCAAUAUCGUAGCCAUAGGAAAGCUGAGGUCUUGGUGAUAGUGGAAUGGUGACCGUACCUAAUGAUAAAAAUUGGGGAGUUCAAAUCACCAAAGGGGGAAGGGUUGACAAUAGGAAAUCCAAAUCACCAAGAAACAAUAUCAUAGCCAUAGGAAAGCUGAGGUCUUGGUGAAAGUGGAAUGGUGACCGUACCUAA
Eriocheir sinensis (Chinese mitten crab) is the source of this 3578-nucleotide long non-coding RNA. RefSeq lists it as uncharacterized. The transcript has 2 exons. NCBI's taxonomy places the organism in Eukaryota, Metazoa, Arthropoda, Malacostraca, Decapoda, Varunidae. The record is from RefSeq and is a predicted model, not a curated record.